Molecule: long non-coding RNA, 367 nt
Organism: Anneissia japonica
Lineage: Eukaryota; Metazoa; Echinodermata; Crinoidea; Comatulida; Comatulidae
Exons: 3
Source: RefSeq, a predicted model, not a curated record
UAAUACAAAAAUACAAAAUGAUAUGAAAUGUUUAAUUUUAACGUAUCAUUACAGUGUCUGAUGAAUCAAGUGUUUUGGAUGGUGCAGGAAACGAAACAGCAGAGGAGGAUCUGGAAGAUGUAAGCCUAGUGGCGUUUCUUCAAGAUGAUGAUGACAAUGAUGAUGUUGCUGCGGAUUUGGUUGGAGAUGUUGAUGACAGUCUACCGGUUGCACCAGCUAUCUCUAAAGAGAUAAAAUCGCUCACCCCGAAAACCAGUAAGGACAUGAAGAAGUCAAAAACGGGUUCAAAAAUAGAUGCUGUUGUUACCCCGGCUGCUGCACCUGGUGCAAAAAAGCGAAAACCAUCCAGCUCACCAGAAGAGAAUCA